Molecule: unclassified non-coding RNA, 1228 nt
Filed under: Hevea brasiliensis (rubber tree)
Lineage: Eukaryota; Viridiplantae; Streptophyta; Magnoliopsida; Malpighiales; Euphorbiaceae
Source: RNAcentral
GUGCUAGUGUUGGUGAUGUUGAGGUAGUGUACAACUUGUAUUUAUAUUUGCUUGAUUGUUGGAUUCCUUGUCGCUUCUACUUGCUAGGGUAUUAAAUAUUGUUUGUAGUGGGUGAAACAUAAUGGAAUUUGAGGGCACCAAUUCAAUAUUUUCCAUUUCAUAUAAACAGAGUUGUAUUGGCACAAAUUGGUUGAAACAGAAGGGUGAUUUGAAAUGAGCCACAUCAUUGCGCGCAUAAAAUAUCAUGGGCUACUUGAUUUUUGGGUUGCUGUCAACAUCUUUUUUCCGUAUUAUAUAUAUAUAUAUAUAUUUAAAAAAAUAAUUUCUGGUUGUAAUUAUAUAUAUAUUUAGAUCUGUAAGAUUUAUAUACUUUUUGAGGAGUUUGCUUUUAUCUACAGUUUUUAGUGUCUAUUAUUGAAUUUCAGGUAUUUAAUUAAUCACUCUAUUUAGGAAUAAUGAUAGAUGACAAUGGAUAUUUGUUUGAAAAUGUUGUAUAUAUUAUGGGUCAUGUGCAAUUUGUCUAAAUUUAAAGUUUUCAUAAUUUUUAGAUUUUUUAAUUUAUCAAUAUAAAUUAAAUUUUCUGUUUAAAUUAUAAUUUAUUUAAUUUUGGAUUUAUAUUUAUAAAUAAUAUUUUAACUUAUUAAUUUUUUCAGUAAUUUAAUAAUUUUUGGACUUUUUUUAAUUUAUUGAUCUGAUGCCUUACAUUUUUAGUUCAAUCCUUAUUUUGUUGCUGAUUUUAGUUAUUUGACUAAUGGUUUAAAAAGAAAUAACGGUAUUGGCUGUUGAUUUGGAAGAAUUCAGUCUGAUUCCAUUGCACCAUUUCCAAUUCCAAUUCGGAAACCUUCCUCGAAAUGGCUUCCGAAUUUUUUAUCUAAUACCCUGUUACUCAUCUUUAUUUUUGUUCCUAUCAUAAAUAGCAUCUUGAUGUUCUGGGUGAUAUUGAAUUUGUUCUUGUGAUAACAAGUUCUAUUCUUCUUCAUUAUCAAAAAUUCUCAUCUUAUAUAUAUAUAUAUUUAAAUUUUAGUUUUAACUUCAAAUAGCUAAAGAUAUUCUGUGUAAAUAGAAAUUAAAGUUCUCUUUGUUAAUCAAUUAGGGUUUGAAAAAUGCAUUGGCUUCUGGUGCCAACAAGGAUGAAGAGGAUUCAGAGGGAAGAACAGCAUUGCACUUUGCAUGUGGAUAUGGGGAGGUAAAGUGCGCUCAAAUUCUUCUUGAGGCAGGAGCAACUGUU